RNAcentral lists this ribosomal RNA (557 nucleotides) under Choeradodis stalii. Its description in RNAcentral is "partial 16S ribosomal RNA". It matches the Rfam family "Bacterial large subunit ribosomal RNA", at positions 1796 to 2622 of the family's 2925-position model. The record is from RNAcentral. Lineage: Eukaryota; Metazoa; Arthropoda; Insecta; Mantodea; Mantidae.
UCGCCUGUUUAUCAAAAACAUGGUCUCUUGAUUUUAUUUAGGAGAUUUAACCUGCCCACUGAAGAUAUUUUGAAGGGCCGCAGUAUUUUGACUGUGCAAAGGUAGCAUAAUCAUUAGUCUUUUAAUUAGAGGCUGGCAUGAAUGGUUGGACGAGGUAAUUACUGUUUUAUAUUAAUUUUAAUUGAAUUUAGGGUUUAAGUGAAAAAACUUAAGUGUUAUUAAGGGACGAGAAGACCCUAUAGAGUUUAAUAUUUAUAGUAAUUAAUUGAGUUAAGAAAUAAUUUUUGGUUAUUAUGAAAAUUAUUUAAUUGGGGUGAUUAGAAAAUAAAAGUAACUUUUCUUUAAUAUUAAUAAUAUGUUUAAUUAAAUGAUCCAUAUUUAAUGAUUAAAAGAUUAAAUUACCUUAGGGAUAACAGCAUAAUUUUUUUUGAGAGUUCGUAUUAAAAAAGAAGAUUAUGACCUCGAUGUUGGAUUAAGAUUAGUUAUGGGUGUAGAUGUUCAUUAACUAGGUCUGUUCGACCUUUAAAAUCUUACAUGAUCUGAGUUCAAACCGGAGA